RNAcentral lists this long non-coding RNA (5595 nucleotides) under Triticum aestivum (bread wheat). RNAcentral's name for it is "long non-coding RNA (TAES_LNC011975)". The stretch from base 3623 to 3733 matches the Rfam family "Plant small nucleolar RNA R71". Lineage: Eukaryota; Viridiplantae; Streptophyta; Magnoliopsida; Poales; Poaceae. The record is from RNAcentral.
UCUCUGUCUUUUUGGUAUUAUUUUUUAUUUGCAUGAGAAACUAAAACAGUAACACAAAGGGAACAACAAGACAUGAACACAUAAAGCAGAAUGGAAAUGGUUCACAUUACAAACAUAUUUGUCACAGAGACAAAGCUAUCACAGAGACUGAAAAUUAAACACACACAAAGUUAACUAGUACUGGAAGUUAACUAGUACAGGGGACUAGUACACAAGGUGAACACACAUACUCCCUCCGUUCCAAAAUAGAUGACUCAACUUUGUACUAACGUUAGUACAAAGUUGAGUCAUCUAUUUUGGAACGGAGGGAGUAUAUGCUAGCAAACCGGUAAUUCACACAUCAAAUCAAACAUACCAAAUAUUAUCCAAACAACUAGACAUUAACUAGUCAGAGCGCAUAAUAAAAUGCACUAUGUUUCACAAGUACGAAACUGAACAAUUGUCAGAUUGCAAGCUCUUAUCAAAUCUGAAUAUUACAUGAACUAAACAUCUCAAUUCUGAAUAUUCCAAAGUACUGAACAAUAAACUUCUCAAGAUUACAGAAAUUUGAGAUCGGAGAGAGAGAGAGAAGCAGCAGCAGCAGCAAGUUGGAGGAGAGCAGCAGCAAUUUUCUGGUUUAGAGAAAAUUAGGAGGAGGAGCGGAGCAAGAGAAGGAGGAGGCAGCAGCAGGAAGUUGGAGAAGGGAGAAGCAGCGGUAGGAAGAGAAGAAGCAGAGGUAGCAGCAGUUUAGUGGAGGAAGCAGAGCAGCAGCAGAUCGGCGCAAGAAGAAGAGCAGCAGCAGGGGGGACGUGAGAGGAAGGAGUAGCAGCAAGGAGAGGGAGAAGAAGAAGCAGAGGCGUGGGGAGGUUAGAGAGAAAGCAGCAGCAGAAUUUGGGGGGAGAAGAAAGGUGGAGGAGCAGCAGCAGUUCGGGCGUGGGGAGGAGAAGAGCAUCGGGGGCGCGAGAUGGUGGAUGAUGCAGCGGCGGUUGGUGGAGAUGGCACGGUCGAGCUAGUGGAUGGAUGGGAGGUGGAGGCGCACCAUGACACCGGCCUGGCCGUGGCGGCGGCCGGAGUUGGAGAAGGAGGGGUGAGAGAGAGAGAGAGAGAUGUGCCAGGCCCGAAGGGAAUUGAGUAUGCGCUAGGGAUUUUGAUCCCCUCCCCUGUUCUGCCACUUUACGAUUUGGCCCUGCUAUUUCUCUUCUUUCUUCCCAAGUAGGUCCUGCCAUCUAUAGCUUGGCCCCUUGAUUACUUCAAUUCUUCUCGCUCAAGUCCCUUUCUUCACUUCUUUCCUGCUGUUCUCUCUUCUCAAUAGCCAAUUUGUCCGAAUCUUGAAGUUUAUAGUGCCUUUGCGCACUUUUCUGCAAAAUAAUCAAAUGACAAGUAAAUGAUCUUUUAUAUGAUUUUCAUUCAAAUAUAUCAUAGUUCAUAACAAGAAUGGAUCGUUGGAUCACAAUAAAUGGUGUGUUUGUGUGCCAAAAUGUGAAUAGGAAAUGUACUUAUCAAGUUCCCCCACACUUAAAUCUUUACUUGUCCUCAAGUAAAGGCAUUUGACAAGAGCAAGGUAGUGAACAGCGAACUGACUAGAGAAUGUCCUAGUGAAGUAGAUCUCCAAACAAUGCAUGCUUUGAACUUUGCUAGUGAAAAUCAAUGGUUAAGAGUGCUACAAAGCAGUAGGAUACUAAUAAGCAUGACCAUUUUAAACUUUUACAAUGAUAAAAUAGGAUCAACAAGUUUAAAUGAUGACUGUGCCAAAUGGUUCCUAAAGAGAGCAUGAUCCCGAGAACAAAAAGAACAUAAACUUGUGAUCAGAUCACUUAUUUACAGAAAUAAAGCAAUGAUAAUAUUUUAUCGAUCUCACUAAAGGAACAUACCACCGAUCCCGAGAACAUGGUAUACACCCGGCUCGACCAAUUAUUAGUUUUUUUUUGUUUGUCUCCCCAAAGGAACAUACCACCGAUCCCGAGAACAUGGUAUACACCUGGUUCGACAAUUACAUUUUUUUAUUUUUAGUUACUGCCCAAGUUAACCCGAUUUCACAUGCCACCGAUCCAGGGAACAUGACAUGCUACUGUAGGUAUUCAGACUUAUUUAUUCAUUAUUACUUUUUUUAAAUGAACAACGCAUAAGCACAAAAAUAGGAAUCAUCACUUCUCCAUGUCUGGUUCACAUGCUACCGUUCCAGGGAACAUAGCAUGCUAAUCCAUAGUUGUUAGGUGAUUGCUCUCAAUGGGAACACAUUAGGCACAAACUCAACAUCUGACACUUAAUGAUCUAGGUGUAUCGAGGUAAAAGCAGAAAAUGAUUAAGUUUUCUAGUGUACUAGGGAUUUGAGCACUCAAAACUAAUAGCUUUCACUACUUUCAGCGAAGCAAACAGGUUGUAGAUCACUAGUUUACAAGGCAUUCAACAAUCAGUUCGCAUAUUCUCAUCAAGCACCAUAUGUCAAAUAAAAUUCAGUGGGGCAACAUUUAAGACAUGGCUUAAGAAACCCAAAUAACAUUUGAUUUCAGCAUUUAUCAAUGGAUGAUAUACUCGGAAUGGGUCAUGAAACAGCUCACCGAGCACUAUGAAGUAGCACUUGCUUGAUCACUCUCUAAGUUGCUGCUCCUCUCCUUUUGCUUCUCCAUCCUCAUGCCUGCUCCAGCUUCGCUCUUCCUCAUGUGUGCUCUUUGCUUCUCCUCAUCACCAUGCCGUGAAUCCACCAGGAUCCCAUGGGAUGUCAUCUCGAACUUGGUCGGCCCGUAAUGAAUGGUGCACAAGCGUAAACCUGAAAGAACACUCAACAAACAAGCCAAUAUAAAUGAUAGGGACAAUGCCCUCUAAGUCAUCAAUAGAGUAUCCUAUCAGAUAAGCAUAUCUAUUGAGCAUAUGAUAAAUAGAUAUCACCAAUAAAUCGCAUGGUGCAUAGGCAGUAUCCAUGAUAUGGCAUAUCUUGUCGAGAAAGCUGAGAUCAUACCUGAGAUAGUUAGGAAGAAGCUUCAGGACUACCUCCAUUGAAGAUACCAAGUGAGGUGUGGUAGUAGAAAUUUCCACCGGACUCGUGUCAACAAGUGAAAUAGAGCUUGACUCCUUGACAUCUGAAUCCACCUCACCAUAAUCAACCAUGAAGCUCUCCAUCUCAGGCUCAAGUGUUGAAGAAUCAAUGCGGCUGACAUCAUCAAAGGCGAACUUCUCCAUAUCUGGCUCUAGCAGCACAUGAUCAAUAUCAACUAAAGGUGACUCCUCAAUAUCAAAAGCAACGAACUGCAGCUCUGGCUCAUCCAUGGAAGAAUCAUCACAAUGCAAAACUGAAUCUCCAACACUAAUAUCCAGAUGAUCUGUAGCAUGUGUGUCAACUAGAAUGGUGUCAUCAUCGUCAAAUAUAAUCCAUGCAAGCUCAACCUUGUCACACUGAGAUAGAGGCUCAGGCUUUUGUGUAAGAAUUGGUGGUUGAGGUGUAGUGAUUUGUUGCAAGCAAACCAAUGAAUCAGACGUGGGCUUCUUAUUGUACCACUGAAGUUGGUGGAAAGCUAUGCUCUCAAUCAGCAGAAAAGCUUCAUCAAGUGUCUUGUUUGUAAUAGCUCCACCCGCUGCCAUAUCGACGUAAGCUCGAGUGUCCGAAGUCAAUCCUCUAUAGAAUAUCUGCAGCUCUAACCAUCUCUCGAGCCCAUGAUUAGGACAUCUCCUGAAUAAGGCUUUGUAUCUCUCCCAAGCAUCAUACAAGCUCUCGCCUUCACGCUGAACGAAAUUGAAGAUCUCAUCUCGAAUUGCGGACUGCUUGUGUAGUGGGAAAUAUUUAUCCAAGAAAGCUCGGGAUAUCUCAUUCCAACUGUAUGACCUUGAUGGCAAGGAUCGAUACCAAGCACGAGCAUCAUCACGGAGGGAGAAUGUGAACAACCUGCACAUGAUUGCAUCUUGAGGAACUCUAUGGUACUUGACUGUAUCUGAAUACUCCAUGACUCGGUGUAAGUGCUCAUAGGGAUCAUCAGUAGGCAGUCCUCCAAACUGUUGUUGUUGAACCAAAGCAAUAAGACCAGGCUUCAGCUCAAAAUUCUCUACCUCAAUAGUUGGCCAAACUGGUCCUGUGAUAUAACAUUGACUACUUGGCAUCCAAAGAUCAUGAAGCAAUGCCAUAUCUUAACCAAGUGUAACUAUAGAACAACCUGCAAAGAUUUAUGAUUCCCUACACACACUCAUAAACAGUAAACAUUAGUUAGAAGGUUAGUAUCCUAAUAAGCCGAAGCAACAAUGGGGGAAAAUAGAAGAAAAAAACACUGAAGAUGAAAUACACGACGAAUUGAACAAGGAACUAAAGUAAACCUAGUCUAUAGCCUAACACAAUCGCUCGACGUAAGUCCCUGGCAACGGCGCCAAAUUGAUCAAUUAAAAGUACAGCGGGAUAUUUCGCCCGAACUGCGAGUGUCGUGUUCUCCACAGGGACUAGACGAUCAGCAAUGAUGCUUGACUAAAGCUAGGCUAGACAAUUUAAGUGACGAUUACUGGGAAAAUAAACCUAAAGUAUCUAAGAUCAUUUCGGAAAAUCGGCGACAAAGUAAACGAAAAGAAGCAAAGGGAGAUUCAGAUUAUACUCUCUGUCUUUUUGAUAUUAUUUUUUAUUUGCAUGAGAAACUAAAACAGUAACACAAAGGGAACAACAGGACAUGGACACAUAAAGCAGAAUGGAAAUGGUUCACAUUACAAACAUAUUUGUCACAGAGACAAAGCUAUCACAGAGACUGAAAAUUAAACACACACAAAGUUAACUAGUACUGGAAGUUAACUAGUACAGGGGACUAGUACACAAGGUGAACACACAUAUAUGCUAGCAGACCGGUAAUUCACACAUCAAUCAAACAUACCAAAUAUUAUCCAAACAACUAGACAUUAACUAGUCAGAGCGCAUAAUAAAAUGCACUAUGUUUCACAAGUACGAAACUGAACAAUUGUCAGAUUGCAAGCUCUUAUCAAAUCUGAAUAUUACAUGAACUAAACAUCUCAAUUCUGAAUAUUCCAAAGUACUGAACAAUAAACUUCUCAAGAUUACAGAAAUUUGAGAUCGGAGAGAGAGAGAGAGAAGCAGCAGCAACAGCAAGUUGGAGGAGAGCAGCAGCAGUUUUCUGGUUUAGAGAAAAUUAGGAGGAGGAGCGGAGCAAGAGAAGAAGGAGGCAGUAGCAGGAAGUUGGAGAAGGGAGAAGCAGCAAUAGGAAGAGAAGAAGCAGAGGUAGCAGCAGUUUAGUGGAGGAAGCAGAGCAGCAGCAGAUCGGCGCAAGAAGAAGAGCAGCAGUAGGGGGACGUGAGAGGAAGGAGUAGCAGCAAGGAGAGGGAGAAGAAGAAGCAGAGGCGUGGGGAGGUUAGAGAGAAAGCAGCAGCAGAAUUUGGGGGGAGAAGAAAGGUGGAGGAGCAGUAGCAGUUCGGACGUGGGGAGGAGAAGAGCAUCGGGGGCGCGAGAUGGUGGAUGAUGCAGCGGCAACUGGUGGAGAUGGCACGGUGGAGCUAGUGGAUGGAUGGGAGGUGGAGGCGCACCACGACGCCGUCCUGGCCGUGGCGGCGGCCGGAGUUGGAGAAGGAGGGGUGAGAGAGAGAGAGAUGUGCCAGGCCCGAAGGGUAUUGAGUCUGCGUUAGGGAUUUUGAUGGUCG